This is a long non-coding RNA of Hemicordylus capensis (graceful crag lizard), 1149 nucleotides long. RefSeq lists it as uncharacterized. NCBI's taxonomy places the organism in Eukaryota, Metazoa, Chordata, Lepidosauria, Squamata, Cordylidae. The record is from RefSeq and is a predicted model, not a curated record. The transcript is spliced from 3 exons.
AACACAGGUACAACAUAAUGUCUGAAUGAGGCAGAACUACACAACCAGAAACGGGGCCAACUCAUAUUAUGUGGUCGAAAAAGAGAAAGAGCUUUGUGCCCUGAGGGGGAAGAAAAAGAAGAAAGGUCCAGUGGCCAUAGCAUCCAUUCAUAGCAUCAAUUCCUGAAGGGAGGACUGUGAAAGGCCUGAGCGAAAUGUUGGGGCAGCCUUUUCUCCAUCUUUCUUUCUUUUUUCUUUCUUUUUCACAUUUUAAAUUUUUAUUGGCUUUUACAAUAGCUUUACAUUCAAAUUACAUUCAUUUAUUUAAUCAAGUUCCUUUUUCCAUCUUUCCAGGGCCUACUUAAAAUCUUGGCACUCUGAGGGGCAGGAAGAAGUCCGGGCCAGGCCGAUCUUUGUUUCGUUUCUCUCAGGUCUUUGGCGGCUGGUUUCUUUGCUGUCACUGGGUGUUAAAUGGUUUUUAAAUGUUUAUUGUACACCACCUGGGGAAAGUGGAAGCAGUUGGGAAACGGUUAACCAACAGUGGGAAAGUGUUUUUACAAUCGAAUAAAUCAAAUAACUUAACACAUUCGCUCCAGAACAGGCAAGCGAAAGCCUGAGAGAAUCUUAGGACAGCUGUCCCCGCACCCCUGCCGCCACUGUAUAUGGGCAAUUUAAGAUUUGUGUGUUUUGAGGGAGGCAAAAGGAAGCCAGCCCUUGAGAUCAUAAUGUUUGUUUGUUUGUUUGUUGUUUGUUUGAUGAAAGGUCCAGUGGCCUGCAGCAUUCAUAUAGCAUCUAUUCCUGAAGGGACAGUGAAAGGCCUGAGGGAACGGUUAUGGCCACCCUUUCGCCAUCUUCCCAGGGUCUGCUUAAAGUGGUUGCACCCCUGAGGGGCAGGAAGAAGAAGAAGAGGAGGAGGAGGAGGAGGAGAGACCAGGCCGGCACUAGAUACUAGAGGAUAUGUGACCUUACCCAACAAGACCGUGAUAUAAGCUCCCCUCAAUUGAUCCACUAAACUUUGAGACUCCUCUUGCCGUGCAUCUGAGUUACUUCCGGCUUUCUUUUUCCUCUUAAAGAAUCCACUAAAUCGUGCAGCUCUUAUUAUUCUCCAAGGAAAUCAGUGUAUAAUUUUAAUUGUGUUGGCAGUGAUGGGCUGUACCUGCCUCUGCGUGG